CCUACGGGCGGCAGCAGUGGGGAAUAUUGCACAAUGGGGGAAACCCUGAUGCAGCGACGCCGCGUGAGUGAAGAAGUAUUUCGGUACGUAAAGCUCUAUCAGCAGGGAAGAAAAUGACGGCACCUGACUAAUAAGCCCCGGCUAAAUACGUGCCAGCAGCCGCGGUAAUACGCAGGGGGCAAGCGUUAUCCGGAUUUACUGGGCGUAAAGGGAGCGUAGACGGCGGCGCAAGGAAGGAGUGAAAUCCCAUGGCUUAACCAUGGAACUGCUUUGGAAACUGUGCAGCUAGAGUGCAGGAGAGGUAAGCGGAAUUCCUGGUGUAGCGGUGAAAUGCGUAGAUAUUAGGAGGAACACCAGUGGCGAAGGCGGCUUACUGGACUGUAACUGACGUUGAGGCUCGAAAGCGUGGGGAGCAAACAGGAUUAGAUACCCCGGUAGUC
Molecule: ribosomal RNA, 440 nt
Filed under: uncultured bacterium
Lineage: Bacteria
Description: partial 16S ribosomal RNA
Rfam family: Bacterial small subunit ribosomal RNA
Source: RNAcentral